GAUCAUGGCUCAGGAUGAACGCUAGCUACAGGCUUAACACAUGCAAGUCGAGGGGCAGCAUGACCUAGCAAUAGGUUGAUGGCGACCGGCGCACGGGUGAGUAACACGUAUCCAACCUACCGGUUAUUCCGGGGAUAGCCUUUCGAAGAAAGAUUAAUACCGGAUAGUAUAACGAGAAGGCAUCUUCUUGUUUAUUUAAAGAAAUUUCGAUAACCGAAUGGAGAUGCGUCCAUUAGUUUGUUGGCGGGGUAACGGG
RNAcentral lists this ribosomal RNA (256 nucleotides) under uncultured bacterium. RNAcentral describes it as "partial 16S ribosomal RNA". It matches the Rfam family "Bacterial small subunit ribosomal RNA", at positions 15 to 264 of the family's 1533-position model. The record is from RNAcentral.